CGGGGGAAAGAGGGAGGUCUUGAGCGAGUGUGUGGUCCAACCACAACCAUACAUGCCAAAUUUAAUCCCUACCCACACAAAAUACAAUCCAAAUUUAAUCCAAACUUAUAAAAUUAAUCCAAAUAACGUCACACCCACGUACCUUAAUACCUGCUAAGGGUAAAUCCGUCUUUUCACGUCCUCGAUGAAUAAAAUCCCAGGACGGGCUGUGACAUUUGAUCAAAUCAAAUUACAAUCAAAAUCUAAUCUACACAUGCCCAUGGUUCAAACAAAUUUGAAACGGCCUUUCUGACACACCCC
This 300-nucleotide long non-coding RNA is filed under the name Malus domestica (apple). Its description in RNAcentral is "long non-coding RNA (MDOM_LNC015795)". The record is from RNAcentral. Lineage: Eukaryota; Viridiplantae; Streptophyta; Magnoliopsida; Rosales; Rosaceae.